RNAcentral lists this ribosomal RNA (503 nucleotides) under uncultured bacterium. RNAcentral describes it as "bacterial SSU rRNA". It matches the Rfam family "Bacterial small subunit ribosomal RNA", at positions 28 to 490 of the family's 1533-position model. The record is from RNAcentral.
GACGAACGCUGGCGGCGUGCCUAAUACAUGCAAGUCGAACGCACUCUCGUUUAGAUUGAAGGAGCUUGCUCCUGAUUGAUAAACAUUUGAGUGAGCGGCGGACGGGUGAGUAACACGUGGGUAACCUGCCCUAAAGUGGGGGAUAACAUUUGGAAACAGAUGCUAAUACCGCAUAAAACCUAACACCGCAUGGUGUAGGGUUGAAAGAUGGUUUCGGCUAUCACUUUAGGAUGGACCCGCGGUGCAUUAGUUAGUUGGUGAGGUAAAGGCUCACCAAGACCGUGAUGCAUAGCCGACCUGAGAGGGUAAUCGGCCACACUGGGACUGAGACACGGCCCAGACUCCUACGGGAGGCAGCAGUAGGGAAUCUUCCACAAUGGACGAAAGUCUGAUGGAGCAACGCCGCGUGAGUGAAGAAGGUUUUCGGAUCGUAAAACUCUGUUGUUGGAGAAGAAUGUAUCUGAUAGUAACUGAUCAGGUAGUGACGGUAUCCAACCAGAAAG